CUAAACUGAGGAAAGUCGACCGAUACUGAUCGGCUAGAGGGACGUAGAGGUAAGCGGAACUCUCAGAGUAGCGGUGAAAUGCGUAGAGACCGAGAGGUACCCCGAUGGUGAAGACAGCUUACUGGGCGUCUCCUGACGCUGAAGCGCUAAGGCCAGGGGAGCGAAGGGGAUUAGAUACCCCCGUAGUCCUGGCUUCAAACGAUGUGGGCUUGGUGUCGGCUCCCGAUAGAGAGUCGUUGCCGGAGCUAACGUGUUAAGCCCACCGCCUGGGGAUUACGUCCGCAAGGAUGAAACUCAAGGGAAUUGACGGGGGCCCACACAACCGGUGGAGCACGUGGUUUAAUUCGAUGAUAAGCGAAGAACCUUACCAGGGCUUGACCUAGCGGUGGUAGGAUCCUGAAAAGGAAACGACCUCAAGCUUUGCUUGAGGAGCC
Molecule: ribosomal RNA, 434 nt
Filed under: uncultured bacterium
Lineage: Bacteria
Description: bacterial SSU rRNA
Rfam family: Bacterial small subunit ribosomal RNA
Source: RNAcentral